Molecule: ribosomal RNA, 468 nt
Filed under: uncultured soil bacterium
Lineage: Bacteria
Description: bacterial SSU rRNA
Rfam family: Bacterial small subunit ribosomal RNA
Source: RNAcentral
AGAGUGAACGCUGGCGGCAGGCCUAACACAUGCAAGUCGAACGGCAGCGCAGCCCCGCAAGGGGUGGGCGGCGAGUGGCGGACGGGUGAGGAAUACAUCGGAAUCUACCCUGUCGUGGGGGAUAACGUAGGGAAACUUACGCUAAUACCGCAUACGACCCACGGGUGAAAGCGGCGGACCGCAAGGCGUCGCGCGACUGGAUGAGCCGAUGUCCGAUUAGCUAGUUGGCGGGUAAAGGCCCACCAAGGCGACGAUCGGUAGCUGGUCUGAGAGGAUGAUCAGCCACACUGGAACUGAGACACGGUCCAGACUCCUACGGGAGGCAGCAGUGGGGAAUAUUGGACAAAUGGGCGCGAAAGCCUGAUCCGAGCCAAUGACCGCGUGUGUGAAGAGGUCCUUCGGUUAGUAAACGUCCCGUUUUAGGUACGGAAAGUAAAUCCUAGUUACGGUUAACUACCCGGGCGGGUA